AUACCAGGUGCCAAACUUCAUUAUCCACCCCACCACCUUGCCCGGGAGGGAGAUCUGUGAAAGCGAAACGUGAUUUAAGCUGGGAUCUGGCAGCAACUUCGUGGACUCUGAAGGGCACGUGGGAAAGGAGUUUUGAUUGAAGGUGAGGGAUUUAGUGAGGUAAAAUUAUAUCCAAAUUAGAGUUUGGUAAAGGCUUCCAGGUUAAUGUCCUGUUAACGCUUAUCCUGAUUUGUGGAGGACACUUAAGCUGUCUAGGCCUAACCUUGUGUUUGAUCACUCACCUUAAUUUGUAGACAUUCUAGGAGCUCUUUGUCAAUGCCUCUUACCAUUUUUAUCAUUAACUAUUUAUGCUUAUAGAAGCAGGAAAAAUAAAUUGUGGGAGCCUUCAUCUGCAAUAGGUUUACAACUUUUUUUCUAAAAUCUUGAGGCAAGGAGACUUAUUCCCCCGCCCCUUUUUUUCUCACAGAUUUCUUGUAUGUCUCCCUCGCCCCGCCCGCACCCCGUCCCCCCGCCCCCGGACAAUUAAUUGUAGGAGGAAACAAGAACUAAGAUGUCUAUUCGAGUGAUUUUUUAUAUCUUUCUUAAGGAGAAAAAGACUGACAUUUGACACUGUGCUCUUGUUUUGUCUUGCUGAUAAUAACUGACAGCAAUGUUUACUUUUCUUACAAAUGAAACUAUCAGGGUACGUACUUUUAAGCUCUUUAAUACAAUGGGUUUCAUCCUUCCAGUGGGAGAGUAUGAAUUGCCCACUCUGCGUAGACACAUGACUGCUGGCCUGUUGGACACAUGGUCACACUUGCUAUACUCUAAAUAGUGUCUUUGUGACCUGAAACAGUCAACACUUUUCUUAAAGCUACAGUGUGCCCACACUCAUUGUAUUUUUGCUUUGUAUGGAAUUUCAAAUUUACUUAUUACCUUCUCUAUGAAUAAUAGCAUAACUUAUGCAUUCCAUUUAUGCCUUUCAGGGAACCUGAUGGUUAAUUUCUACCUCUUAAAGUAACACAUUAUGUUGUAAGAUUUUGCUCUUAAUAUAGCAGUCCCCCUUAUCCUUGGUUUCACUUUCCAAGAUUUUGUCAACCAUGGCCCAAAAAUGUUACAUCACUACUCUUGCAUUUGGGGGGUAUUAUUACAUAAAAUGAUAGUUAUAUGAACACAAGCACUGUCACACUGCAACAGUCUGACAACCCAGACAGCAACUGGCUAAUGGCAAUCUGGGCAGGGACAGAGCAGACUGUGCUCCUCAGAAUGGUGCACAAUUUAAAACUUAUGAAUCGUUUAUUUCUGGAAUUUGCUAUUUAUGUCACAAUACUUAUGUCAUUCACCUCACUUCAUCUCAUCAUGUAGGUAUUUUAUCAUCUCACAUCACAAGAAGGAGAAGGGUGAGUUCAGUACACUAAGAUGCUUUGAGAGGGAGACCAUACAUAACUUUUAUUACAGUACACUCUUAAAAUUGUUUUAUUUUAUUAUUAUUAUUUUUUGAGACAGAGCUUCUUGUCUCCCAACCAGGACUAUAAUGGCACAAUCUCAGUUCACUGCAACCUCCGCCUCCAGGUUUCAAGUGAUUCUUCUGCCUCAGCCUCCCGAGUAGCUGGGAUUACAGGUGCCCGCCACCACGCCUGGCUAAUUUUUGUAUUUUUAGUAGAGGUAGGGUUUUGCUGUGUUGGCCAGGCUGGUCUCGAACUCCUGACCCCAGGUGAUCUGCCCACCUCGGCCUCCCAAAGUGCUGGGAUUACAGGCAUGAGCCAUGGCGCCCAGCCUGUUCUAUUUUAUUAUUAUUGUUGUUAAUAUCUUACUGUGCCUAAUUUAUAAGUGAAACUUUAUCAUAGGUAUGUAUGUAUAGGAAAAAACAUAGUGCAUUUAGAGUUCAAUACUAAGGUUUCAGGCAUCCACUGAGUGUCUUGGAACACAUCCACCAGGCAUAAGGGGGUGGGGGUGACUACUAUACUUAGGUAAGAUUUAUUUGGAGAGUGCUUAAUAAAAAUUAUGAAUUUCUUGCAUACCUAUUUUGUGUCAGGUCCUGAGAAAGAUAAUCAGGAAUUGGUGUCAAUCUGCCAUCUUUUCUUUAUUCACCCUGAUCCUGCUUCAGAUGUUGUCUCCAUCCUUAACUGACUUGUGUUUUGUUUAUUCUUGAUGUAUUAGUUUGCUAGGGCUGCCAUAACAGACUGAAUGGCUUAAACAACAGAAAGUUGUCAAGCAUGAUGGCUUGCACCUAUAAGCCCAGCUACUGGUGGUGGGGAGAGGAUCACUUGAGCCCAGGAGUUCAAGACUGCAGUGAGCUAUGAUCGUGCCACUGCAUUCAGACAACAGAGUAAGACCUUGUUUCUAAAAAAACAAAAACAAAAACCCUCCAGAAAUUUGUCUUACAGUUCGGAAGGCUAGAAGUCUGAGAUCAAGGUAUUGUCAGGGCCCUAUUCCCUCUGAAGGCUCUAGGCCACUCUCCUAACUUCUGGUAGUUCCUUGGCUUGUCAACAUAACUCCAGUUUUCACAUGUUCUCCCUGUCUGGGUAUCUGUUGUUCAGAUUUCCCCUUUUUCUGUGGACACCAGGGUUAAUUGAAUUAGGGGCCCACCCUACUCCAGUAUGACAUCAUUUUAACUAAACCUGCAACUACUGUGUUUCCAAAUAAGGUCAUAUUUUGAGAUACUGGGGGUUAGGACUUUAACAUACAAAUGUUGAGGGAACACAGCUCAACUCAUAAAACCUUAGUUCAUUUUUUAAGUGUGGUCCACUGAACACAUUCUUUGGAAUCACCUGUGUAUUCUUCCUAGAAAUGCAGGUCCUUAUGUGUCCACAAUUGGGGGGUUCUUGGUCUCACUGACUUCAAGAAUGAAGCCAUGGACCCUAGCGGUGAGUGUUACAGUUCUUAAAGGCAGCGUGUCCGGAGUUUGUUCCUUCUGACGUUCAGACUUGUUCGGAGUUUCUUCCUUCUGGUGCAUUCAUGGUCUCAUUGGCUUCAGGAGUGAAGCUGCAGACCUUCGCGGUGAGUGUUACAGCUCUUAAAGGCAGUGUGGACCCAAAGAGUGAGCAGCAGCAAGAUUUAUUACAAUGAGUGAAAGAACAAAACCUCCACAGGAUCAAAGGGGACCCCAGCGGGUUGCCACUGCUGGCUGGGCAGCCUGCUUUUAUUCUCUUGUCUGGCCCCACCCACAUCCUGCUGAUUGGUCCAUUUUACAGAGAGCCGAUUGGUCCAUUUUACAAAGAGCUGAUUGGUCCGUUUUGACAGGAUGCUGAUUGGUGCGUUUACAAUCCCUGAUCUAGACACAAAAGUUCUCCACGUCACCACUAGAUUAGCUAGAUACAGAGUGUCCACACAAAGGUUCUCCAAGUCCCCACCAGAGUAGCCAGAUACAGAGUGUCCAUUGGUGCAUUCACAAACCCUGAGCUAGACACAGGGUACUGAUUGGUGUAUUUACAAACCUUGAGCUAGAUACAGAGUGCCCAUUGGUGUAUUUACAAUCCCUUGGCUAGACAUAAAGGUUCUCUAAGUCCCCACCAGACUCAGGAGCCCAGCUGGCUUCACCCAGUGGAUCCUGCACAGGGGCACAGGUGGAGCUGCUUGUCAGUCCCACCCCGUUCACCCGCACUCCUCAGCCCUUGGGUGGUCGAUGGGACUGGGCGCCGUGGAGCAGGGGGCGGCGCUCGUGGGGGAGGCUCGGGCUGCUCAGGAGCCCACGGUUGGGCGGCGGAGGCUCAGGCAUGGCGGGCUGCAGUUCCCGAGCCCUGCCCCGCGGGGAUGCAGCUAAGGCCCAGCGAGAAGUCGAGCACAGCAGCUGCUGGCCCAGGUGCUAAGCCCCUCACUGCCCAGGGCCGGCAGGGAUGGCGGGGCGGCUGGCUGCUCUGAGUGCGGGACACGCCGAACCCAUGCCCACCCGGAACUCGCGCUGGCCCUCAAGCGCCAUGGGCAGCCCUGGUUCCCACCCGCGUCUCUCCCUCCACACCUCCCCGCAAGCUGAGGGAGCUGGCUCUGGCCUUGGCCAGCCCAGAAAGAGGCUCCCACAGUGCAACCGCGGGCUGAAGGGCUCCUCAAGUGCCGCCAAAGUGGGAGCCCAGGCAGAGGAGGCACUGAGAGCGAGCGAGGGCUGUGAGGACUGCCAGCAUGCUGUCACCUCUCACUUAGGCUUUACCCUAGACUAAUGAUUUUCAAAGGAAGAGAGUGGUUUUCCCCUGGGGAAUAUUUGGCAAUCCCUGGAAACAUGACUGGGGGAGACGUACUACAGGUAUCUAGUGGACCUGGAAUGCUGUUGAACAUCCUACAAAGCACAGGACACUGUCCCACAGCAAAAAAUGAUUCCACCUGAAAUGUCAGUCGUGCCAAGAUUGAGAAACCCUGUCCUAAAAUUGGUAAGUCUAGUCUCUAGGAAAGUGGCCUGGAAACCUACAUUCUGACAAACACCAUAGCAUCUUGUACCUCUACUAAAGCCUGAAAACCACUGCAAACGCAAAAGCAUUUUCUAGGCGUAUGAACAUGCUCCAUUUCUCCUCGGAUAUUAGUUAUCUCUCUUAUUUAUUAACCAUGCUAAUUAUGAUAAGCUGAUUUUAUUCAAUACUGCUACUUAGCAAUUCAGUUUACCAGUCAUAGUCUUAAUUUAAGUUGGAAUCUUAUUUACAUUUUAAAACUUCUGUGCCACAUUACAUUAUUUUUGAUCAACUGUCUGCAUUUUCUGGGUGUCAUUUGCCUAAUGAAAAGCUGUUGCCAAUUUGUGACUUGGCAAAAAAGCAAUGCUUUGCCUGCCUCCUCCAGUCUGCUAGCUUCUCCUGUACUCUAAGUGACUGACUCUUCUGUCGUAUAUUUCUUUCAUCCCUUGCAGUCAGUGCUACUGUUCUCAAUUUCUUUCUCUUCUUUCCUUUUGGCACUUGAAAAUAUUGUUCGGGUAUAUUAAUGGUGUCUUAAGAGCCAAAACAAGAAAAUGGUAGUGUCAUAAAAGUCACAAGAAGCCUAGGGAAAAAUCUUGAAACGCCCAUACUUACUUCCACUAAAGUAGGUCAUUGGAAAUUGUGUUACAAUGUAUAAUAAAUUGAGAACUUGAUGCCUCUGUAAAAAAAAAAAAAAAAAGGCUUUUAAAAUUAGUAUUCCCUUUCAGAGAAAAUCUUCCAUUUUCCAGAUAAGGCUUCCAUAAAUACCUCAUCAGAAUAAGGCAAACUGUGAUUAUUACAAAAAAAAAUAAAAUUCAAGGAUUUGGGCAAGGUGGUGCCUGCCUGUGUAACCCCAGCUACUAGGGAUGCUGAGGCAGGAGGAUCUCUUGAGCCCAGGAAUUCAAGACCAGCCUGGGCAACAUAGUGAGUGAGACCCCCUUUCUAAAAAAUAAAAAAUCCAAGGGUUAUAAUUCUCCAAAUACAUGCCUCAGAAUACUUCGGUCUUGAAUUAUUCCUGUCGGCUAUUACAUUAUCCAAGCAAACUUUUACUAAUAACUUUUUGCUAGUUUUCUAAAGUAAUUACUGUUAAAGUUUUUGAGAACAAUUCUAGCCUCCUCAUCCAACAACCAGGAUUCCCUAAUAGUUGCUCUUUCUUUCAACAGUUUCUUAGGAAUUAAAACUUCUUAUGUCAUUCAAGCAUGUAUCCUGUAACACUGUAUAACCUUCAAGCCUGCUCCAUCUUUGGAAAUGUCAUAUUCAGCUGUGAACUCUGAUGUAUAGCCUAGGCUUCAAUCAAAAAACCUUAUUUUUUAAUCAACUUGAUUGCUGAGAAUGAGCAAGGCAUGGAAUAAGCAGCCUUUAUACUAAGCUGAGUUUUUAAUGUAAUCACUAAAUUAAAUGUAUAAACAAAAGUGUGGUAACAUAUAGCACAAUCUAUACAAUUCAGAAAGAGAUCUUUUGUUGUGAUCGCAUUCAAAACUGGAUACCUGGUGAAUGAAAGUUACCCAAUAUAAUUCAGUUGGACUCUUCAGGAAGUAGUGCUGCAGGAAAUAAAAACAAAAAGAAUAAUAAUUCAAUUGGACUAGCUAGCCAACUGUUGCCUGUGUAAACUGAUCACUCAACAUGAAGUCAAGAGACUACUUCAAUGAAAAAAACCAGAAAGAACAGAGCUGUUGGGUUGUAAACAUGAGUUCUCCUUUCUUGUAUUCUUAUUGUCUAAAGAUGAGCAGAGUAAAGUACAAGGAGAAAAUGAUGUUUUGCAAGAGUUGAGUGAACUGGACUUUCUUUUUUUUUUUUUUUGAGACAGGGUCUCAUUCCAGUCACCUAGGCUAGAGUGCAGUGGCACAAUCACAGUUCACUGCAGCCUUGACUUCCCUGUAGCUGGGACUACAGGCGCGUGCCACCAUCCCCUGCUAAGUUUUGUAUUUUUUCUAGAGACAGGGUUCUGCCAUGUUGCCCUUGAACUCCUGAGCUCAAGCAAUCUACACACCUUGGCCUGUCAAAGUGCCUGGAUUAUAGGCGUGAGCCAGGGCACCCGGCCUGAAUUAGACUUUCUAACUAUGAAAGAAAGUCACAAAGCUGUUAGCUAGAGGUUCCUGCCCCUUGAAAAUAAUUCCUCCCUGCUGUACUACUCCAAAAUCGGUGCCAUUGGGGAACGAAUUAUUGAAUGAAAUGUUUUCUUUCUCAACCAUCUCCAAUAUCUUACUAAAAAGAAAAAUGUGAAAGGAAAACUAUUGUGGCAAGAUAUUCUACCAACAGGCCUUAUUGGGUCACUAUGCCUGAGUCACCCUUGUCCCACAAUAGCACUUCUCUGUUCUCAAUACCUUGCUCCUGUCCUUUUAGACCCAGUUAGUACCUUUUCAUUUCCAAGAAGUGGGCUGGUAUAAUUGAAAGAAUGCUAGACUUGAGGCCUAGUCUCAAAUCUUGGCUCUGUUACUCAACUACCUAAGUCAGAUCUCUUGUCUUCUUGGUGAUUGUUUUCUAAUAUUUAAAAUGGGAGCAAUAAAACUUAUCUCACAGAAAUAAAGUUGGUGCAAAUGUUUACUUCUAAUGGCCAAAACUGCAAUUACUUUUGCACCAACCUAUAUAUGUACUUGACAUAUAGUGUUAUGAGUAUUUGUUUACUUAUUUAUUUUAAGGCUUCCUCCAAUUACUCCAGCAUAUAUAGCUUUUCUUCCAAAUCUACGAACCCUGACAUAUCAUUAGUAACAUUUAUUUGAUACUUAAUCCAACGCAGGGUACUUUUAUACUUACAAAUUUAAGAAUUAAGUGAGGCUGGGUGCAGUGGUACACGCCUGUAAUCCCAGCAUUUUGGGAGGCCAAGAUGGGAGGAUCAUGAGGUCAGGAGAUCGAGACCAUCCUGGCUAACACGGUGAAACCCCGUCUCUACCAAAAAUACAAAAAUUAGCUGGGCAUGGUGGCACAUUCUUAUAGCCCCAGCUACUUGGGAGGCUGAGGCAGGAGAAUCAUUUGAACCCGGGAAGCAGAGGUUGCAGUGAGCCGAGAUCAUGCCACUGCACUCCAGCCUGGGCUACAGAGGGGAAAAAAAAAAAAAAGAAUUAAGUGAUUACGAUCUUUGAGUACAUGGAAGCAGUCCAGACUCCUAAGUGGGCUGUGCCUCUGACCUCAGAAGUGUUGAAUGAAUUCAUGUCCUAAUCAUCUGUGCCUCUUGUAGCUCUCUCUGUUAAUAGGAAACUACUGUGGGAAUGGAAAGGGAAACGUAUUUUGCUUUGUGGUCUGUGGGGAUAAAGACCAUGGUUCAUUUUGCAUCUAGCUGUAAUUUCUAUCCCAGUGUUUUUGCACAUAAUUUUUGUCUUCUAAAAAAAUAGAUGAAUUGAACUUUUAGAAGUGAUUUUCUUUUUAAUUUUUUUUUUUUUUUGAGACAGAGUCUCGCUCUUUCACCAUGCUGGAGUGCAGUGGCGUGAUCUCGGCUCACUGCAACCUCUGCCUCCCAGGUUCAAGCUAUUCUCCUGCCUCAACCUCCCGAGUAGCUGGGACUACAGGCACCUGCCACCACGCCCAGCUAAUUUUUGUAUUUUUAGUAGAGACAGGGUUUCCCCAUGUUGGCCAGGAUGGUCUCGAUCCCCUGACCUCGUGAUCCACCCGCUUUGGCCUCCCAAAGUGCUGGGAUUAUAGGCGUCCACCACCGUGCCCAGCCUAGAAGUGAUUUUCUUUAUGUCAAUUGAAUAGGAAAUUUCCUUUUCUGCAAAGAACUAAUAUUUUCUUUGCUUUUAAGAGGAUCCUGUAAAUUUUAAAAUGCUUUCUUCAAGAACUUAUAGUGUCUUAAAUGAUUUAAGAUCUACUGAAUCAUACAACUUUUAUUAGUUUUACUCUAUCUGGAAUGAAUUUAUGGAUGUCCAAUUUGCAUGUUAAAUAUAAAUGAAAGAGAAAUAUCUUUUAGUUUAUAUACAUUUUUUAAAGGUACCAGAUUGUCUACUGGGAAAUUGGCUUCAUUAAUUGACCACAUUGUCACUACUGUAUAUAGAAAUUUCUAGAUAAUCUCUUAUUGGUCUCACCAAGUUUAAAGCAUGAUGCCCCCUCACCCAAUGGAAUAGUAAUGUAGACAUGCCUUAGGGUCUAUAUCAGAAAAGCCAGUUACAUAUAGGUUAAGAAAAUCUUCAAAGAUAUCAAAGAACCAUGGUCAUUUCUUUGCCAUACUAUACCACUUUAUACUUAAAGUGGUAUAAAGAAUGAAAUUCAAGUUAUUGAAAGGUUAGGCAAGUCAGAAUGAAUUGAAAGCUUUUUAGAAUAUUUGUUUUACAAACAAAAGGGUAUAGUGCUUCCUAUGUUACUUCCAAAUGAGCUGAUAGGCUUAGAAAAAGUGUCUUGAAUUCAAGUUACCAUUUUAGACCAUGAGGUGACACACCAAGGAUGAUCCGAGAAGUGCCAUAGAACAAAUCUAGCUCCCAGUGACCUUUAAGCUGCCAUACAUGCUCUGGACUCCCAAACUCUAGACUUCCUCUAUGUGAAAAGGAAACAAACUUUGAUUUGUUUAAGUCAAAAAUGGAAAUGGAAAUAGCCAAUUUAGUGAUCUCUGUCACUUUUUAAAAGUAUCCUUUUUGUAUCCUAUUCUUUCUGUUCAAUUUAUUUCAUUUUAUAAUACAGUAGCUGUUUGUAUUUCCUUGAGUCCACACCGUGCAUUUGAAACUAGCAAAUUGCAAACAUAGGUUCAGUGCUAAAGACUGGUUACUCAUUCUAUCAAGUUUGCAGUAAGUUGUUUGUAGGUGACUCUGAUUAAAAGUCAAGACCACAUGCAAAGUCUACAAUCUCAAAUUUUGAACUUUGCAAUUUAGAAGGUUAAGCCCUACCCCACCUCUCUCUUAUCUGACCGUUAAUCUAGUGCCACAUCAUUUUUACUCUCCCAAAUGGCAUAUUGGCCUACUUGAUGGGCUAUAGCAAAUAUUUACUGAGUGUCUGUUUUGUGUAAAGCAUUGUGCUGAAUACCGUGAAGUUUACAGAUGUGUUGUGAAGUUUUGGAUUUUUUAGAAAGUAACCAGUUUAUUGAAUAGGGUAGAAUCUGUGGGGUACAAAUGGGGAGUGGGUUUAUUUUUUUCUGAUCUUCAAACAUUCGCUGAUAACUCUUUCAUUCUUGCCUUUUAGAUAAACCUUAAGAUCCCAAAAACUUUUAGUCCUUUUGGAUAUUUAAGGUUUAUUUUCAGAUAGUAAAAGUAAAACAAAUACAGUUAGGUCUAAAUCAAGACUUUAAUCUCACAUCUAAUUCAAAGUUUUCCCUGGCUUCCCUUACUUCCCAAGGCUCAGGAACCCACAGUGGGCAUGGGGAGUGUGAUCUUUUUCUGACUUUUACUUUACUCUUUACCACAUGGUAGUAAAUGGCAACUCCAUUUUAAUCUGUCUUCUUAAUUCCUGCCACUUUCUUUGCUGCUCAUUUCUUUCCAGUUCCAGUGUCUUUCUUUCCAUCCCAGAAUAUAUUAACCAUUUUCCAAGAACCUUUGGAUUUACUCUUCUUUCUGCUUAAAGCUUUUCCCUCCAGCUAGCGUGGCUUGCUCCCUCACUUUUAAGCCUCUGCUCAAAUGUCACUUUAUCAGCAAGCCCUUCCCUAACUACCCCGUCUCAGGUGGUACAUGCCCACAACCAUCAUUUCCUUAUUCUGCUUUAUUUUUCUCAUCUCACCAUCUGAUACAUUAUACUUCUGUUGGGAAGCUAGGUGUCUGUUUCACCUUCUGCAGGUGCCUUCCGUCUUUAUGAGGGAGGUUGGGAGAUAAUACACUGUAUUAGUCUGUUUUCAUAUAGCCAUAAAGAACUGCCCAAGUCUGGGUAAUUUAUAAAGGAAAGAGGUUUCAUUGACUCAUGGUUCAGCAUGGCUCGGGAGGCCUCAGGAAGCUUUCAAUCAUGGGAGAAGGUGAAGAAGAAGCAAGGCACUUUCUUCACAAGGUGGCAGGAAGGAGAAGUGUCGAGUGAAUCAGGAAGAGCCCCUUACGAAACCAUCAGAUCUUGUGAGAACUCACUAUCACAAGAACAGCAUGGGGGAAUCCGCCCCCAUGAUUCUGUUGCCCCAACCUAGUCUCUCCCUUGACAUGUGGGGAUUAUGGGAAUUACAAGUCAAGAUGAGAUUUGGGUGGGGACAAAAAGCCUAACCAUAUCUCCCUUCUCCCCUCUAUGAGAAGGGGUGAAAAAAGGCCAACACAUUCUUUACUCUUUUGAAUUCCUGUUCUCAUUGACUUUGGCAUAUAGAAUCUGGAGGUAAGAGUUUUAUAAAUACUAGACUGAUCUGGCUUUUUAUACUAAGUGGCAUGGAUGUGUCAGACACUUCUCUUUAAAAUAUGGGGAUAGUUGUCUCUUAUUUUCAGCUUUGAGACUUAGGCUAAAAUAUAAACAAAACAAAACUUCAUACAGCAUGCUGUUAAAUAAGAACCUUCUCACAAAUAAAGCUAGCAUGCUUUAAUUGUCACAAAGAGAACACUUGAAUUUGAGAUAACCAUGAUGAUGUGACAGAUGGCUCCAUGAAUUCAGGAUGUCUAAUUUUUAAGAACUAGGAUCUGAGGUAUUUACACAUCUGAAAAGCAAUAUAAAAUUUGUUAUGCAGUUACCAUGGUGGAAAUUUAUUUUUUCUGGCUGUCUAGCAUUCACUCCUCCUUCUGGGACUACAACCCUUUAGCCACAGUGAAUGUUCAUUAAUGGAUAUGUGACCAAAAUUGAUCCAAGUAGAAUGAAUCCUUGCAUAUUGACUGGACAGGAAUCUGGGAGAUAUAUGCCUGGUGUUGCUGGGGCCGUCACUUGGAGAGAAGCUGCCUUUGAGUAAAGAGGAAAGGGGUUGUAAGAUGAAGAGAGGCCAAGGCCAAGGUACGGUGACAUUGGGCCUGGAUCCAGUCAUGAAGUCAAUGCUUAGACUUAUACUUACAUACGUCAAUUAACUUCCUUUUUUUUUUUUUUUUAAGCCAGGUGACUUGGCUUUUCAUCACUUGUAACCCAAUAGUCCUGGCUUUUGUAAUGCAUCCCACUUCUCAACUUAAACCGUUGCCUGUGGUGCAUUGUCGUCAGAACUGCUAUGUUCUUGGCAUAUUUUCUCAAGAUGGAUUUAUUCCAGUGAGUGCUGAUAACUGAAAGAAUUUAUUAAUGUCCCAUUCUGGGAUCCUCCUGGCUACUGAGAACAAUAAAAAAUAUAGUUAAUUGUUUUGACAAAUUCACCAAUGUUAUGUUUGGAUGCAUAGUUAUGUUUGUGAUUCUGAAUUUUACUGUUCUAUAGAUGUGGCUAAAGAAAUCUUCUUAUUCCUUUUACAUAGCAAUCCAAAAUAGCAGGUUUGGCUAGGCACAGUGGCUCACACCUGUAAUACUAGCACUUUGGGAGGCUGAGGUUGGUGGAUCAUUUGAGGUCAGGAGUUUGAGACCAGCCUGACCAACAUAGUGAAACCCCGUCUCCACUAAAAAUAUAAAAAAAAUUAGCUGGGCAUGGUGACACAUGCCUGUAGUCCCAGCUACUCGGGAGGCAGAGGCAGAAGAAUCACUUGAACCCGGGAGAUGGAGGUUGGAGUGAGCCAAGAUCACGCAACUGCACUUCAGCCCGGGCAACAGAACGAGACUCUGUCUCAAAAAAAAAGCAGGUUUGCAUUAUUUAUUUAUUUAUUUAUUUAGAGACAGGGCCUGGCUCUGUUACCCAGGCUGGGGUGCAGUGGCAGAAUCUUGGCUCACUGCAUCCUCUACCACCCGGGCUCAAACCAUCUUCCACCUCAGCCUCCUGAGUAGCUGGGAUCACAGGUGCACACCACCAUGCCCAGCUAAUUUUUGUAUUUUUUUUAGAGAUGGGGUUUCAGCAUGUUGCCCAGGCUGGUUUCCAACUCAUGAACUCAAGUGAUCCACCUGCCUUGGCCUCCCAAACUGCUGGGAUUACGUGCCUAAGCCACUGUGCCCAGCCUACAUUAUUUUUAGUAAUCAUUUUCACUAGUCUUUAUAAAGUAUGUGACUAUCUUUAUUAAUGUUUUAUGUUCUGAUAUAUGUUAUAUACCUAACUAUAAAGGUAAUAAAAAUGUUUUCUUCUACAGAACCCAAAGUCCUUCAACAUUAAAAAGAAUGUGUUCCUCCUAGUGCCUGAAACAUAGUUCUCUAAUAAAAAGAGUUCUAAAG
This 12431-nucleotide long non-coding RNA is filed under the name Homo sapiens (human). RNAcentral's name for it is "HSALNT0297008". Lineage: Eukaryota; Metazoa; Chordata; Mammalia; Primates; Hominidae. The record is from RNAcentral.